UUGUAUUAGGACUCUGGGUACUACUUUUCUGGAAGGGUGGUUCAGGUUUGGAGUGCAAAUGAAGUAUGGUCUGAGGAACACUGAAGGAGUGGAAGCCACACAGUCGCUGCAGUGUGGGCUGUGAAUUACAGCAUUUGAGGUGAUGCUGCACACCGAAGCCUUGCUGAUCUGCAGCCAUUAGCUACCACCAGCAAAAAGGAGAAGUAAAGAUAAUGAAUAAGCAAGCAGGAUAAAAAGAGGAGCUGCAGAGGAGUCCGCCUCAUUUCACCAGACUUCAUCCAAGGAGGAAUGCAGAAGGAGGCUUGUCGUGCUGCUGAGCCCAUCAAGCUCCCCAGCAAAGCAGAACUACAGACAGAAGUCUCUGGAGCAGAAACUUCAGGUGGACAAGAGCCAAUACGUGGAGCAGGUAUUGUUCUGACCCAGAGACCAUGGCUGUGAAGAUCAAGGAGAAGAAUGACUUAACACAGUGGGAUAGCUAGAAAUCACACAGCUGAGAUGACAAGAAGUCUUCAUGCCAGGACUAGGAAAAGAAAGGAAAGCUGAAGAAAGAAGGUGUGAGAUUGGCCCUGCAGUUGAAAUAAAAUGUCCUUGUAGCAGUCACUGUGCUACAUAAAUAGUAGAAAAGUCUCCUAGUAAAGAUUUCUGCUUAGAAGAAGGUGGAUGCAUCUCCAAGUUCCUUGCUGCUGGAGAUGAGAAGUCAACACAGCUGCAGCCAAAGGACAAAAUCACUCAAGAGAAUAUGAGUUAGUUUGUCUGCAGAUACCACAAGUGGAGACAAACAAGAAUCACAAGGACAAAUAAAAUCUACAGUUUUCACCUCAGGCCAAGUGCCUUAUGAACCCCAAAGGGCUGUUUUCUCCUAAGUAACGGCACAGCAAGGACUAUUGCUGUGCCCUACCCUUCAAUCUCCAUCUCUGCAGUCCUUGAUACACCACGGGACUAAAUGACCUGGGCAAGAAAAGGAACAAAGAGCAAAGCAGGCUCUAUAUAUGGUCACUGCUACAGACUUAAAUCCAGCUUUAAGACUGGGAAAAAUGGUAUACAACAGAGUGCAAAUAUGGAUCCCUCUCCUUAAGACAUCUGCUGUUCAGUGCAUCAUAGCUGUUGGAUGGAAAGGAUCCACAGUGGAAUGGAAGGAACACAGUUUUAUUCCCAGUGAUUUAAGAUUCUUGGGCACUUCUUGA
RNAcentral lists this long non-coding RNA (1184 nucleotides) under Coturnix japonica (Japanese quail). RNAcentral describes it as "lncRNA (ENSCJPG00005010084.1)". Lineage: Eukaryota; Metazoa; Chordata; Aves; Galliformes; Phasianidae. The record is from RNAcentral.